RNAcentral lists this ribosomal RNA (702 nucleotides) under Triticum aestivum (bread wheat). RNAcentral describes it as "partial small subunit ribosomal RNA". The record is from RNAcentral. Lineage: Eukaryota; Viridiplantae; Streptophyta; Magnoliopsida; Poales; Poaceae.
AUGAAUGAUGUACUGGAGAAGGUCGGGAAGUGGCUCGCCAUCUUGUUCGGAGUGGCGCUGCUGAUCUUAGCCUGCUACGGGCUACGCCAACUUUGGCUGGCCUGGCGGGCUGGCGUGCAAGCCAUCGGCGUCGUCGCCGGGGACCUGGAGGCGCGAGUCCCCCGCGUGGGAGCGGGAGCGGACGUCCUCAACGAAGGUGAGGCGCACGACGAGGUCGCCGGCGCGGGAGCGGGAGGGCACGUGCUUGCCGCCGGUGAGGCGGACGGCGUGGUCGCCGCUGCCGUGGACCUGGAGGCCGGACUCGCCGCCGUGGGAGAUGGAGCGGACGUCCUCGCGGAAGGUGAGGCGGAGGGCGAGGUCGCCGGCGCGGGAGCGGGAGGGCACGUGCUUGCCGCCGGUGAGGCGGACGGCGUGGUCGCCGCUGCCGUGGACCUGGAGGCCAGACUCGCCGCUGUGGGAGCGGGAGCGGACGUCCUCGCGGAAGGUGAGGCGAAUGGCGAGGUCGCCGGCGAUGGAGCGGGAGACGACGUGGUCGCCGCCGCCGGGGCGGCGGAUCCGGUGGACGUGGGAGCAGGAGAAGAAGGCGAGGAGGCGUUCCACUUCCACGGCAUAUCCGAGUCAGGCACGGACUUUACGGCCUCGCAGCCGGGGAGUGAUUCCGCCAGCUCCUCGUCGUCGUCGUCAGAAUUCGAGCUCGAGUGA